RNAcentral lists this ribosomal RNA (460 nucleotides) under uncultured bacterium. RNAcentral's name for it is "partial 16S ribosomal RNA". It matches the Rfam family "Bacterial small subunit ribosomal RNA", at positions 338 to 795 of the family's 1533-position model. The record is from RNAcentral.
CCUACGGGUGGCAGCAGGGAGGAAUAUUGGGCAAUGGGCGCGAGCCUGAACCAGCCAAGUAGCGUGAAGGAUGACGGCCCUACGGGUUGUAAACUGCUUUUAUAAAGGAAUAAAGUGAGGCACGUGUGCCUUUUUGCAUGUACCUUAUGAAUAAGGACCGGCUAACUCCGUGCCAGCAGCCGCGGUAAUACGGAGGAGCCGAGCGUUAUCCGGAUUUAUUGGGUUUAAAGGGAGCGUAGAUGGGUUGUUAAGUCAGUUGUGAAAGUUUGCGGCUCAACCGUGGAAUUGCAGUUGAAACUGGCAGUCUUGAGUGCGGUUGAGGUAGGCGGAAUUCGUGGUGUAGCGGUGAAAUGCUUAGAUAUCACGAAGAACUCCGAUUGCGAAGGCAGCUUACUAGACUGCAACUGACGUUGAUGCUCGAAAGUGUGGGUAUCAAACAGGAUUAGAUACCCGAGUAGUC